GAUGAACGCUGGCGGCGUGCCUAAUACAUGCAAGUCGAGCGAACAGAUGAGGAGCUUGCUCCUCUGACGUUAGCGGCGGACGGGUGAGUAACACGUGGAUAACCUACCUAUAAGACUGGGAUAACUUCGGGAAACCGGAGCUAAUACCGGAUAAUAUAUUGAACCGCAUGGUUCAAUAGUGAAAGACGGUUUUGCUGUCACUUAUAGAUGGAUCCGCGCCGCAUUAGCUAGUUGGUAAGGUAACGGCUUACCAAGGCAACGAUGCGUAGCCGACCUGAGAGGGUGAGCAGCCACACUGGAAAUGAGACACGGUCCAGACUCCUACGGGAGGCAGCAGGGGGGAAUAUUGCACAAUGGGCGAAAGCCUGACGAAGCAACGCCGCGGGAAUGAUGAAGGUCUUCGGAUCGUAAAGCUCUUUUAUCGGGGAAGAACAAAUGAGUAAGUAACUAUGCGCGUCUUGACGGUACCUUAAGAGAAAGCCACGGCUAACUCCGUG
Molecule: ribosomal RNA, 497 nt
Filed under: uncultured bacterium
Lineage: Bacteria
Description: partial 16S ribosomal RNA
Rfam family: Bacterial small subunit ribosomal RNA
Source: RNAcentral